CAUGUGGCUUAAUUUGACUCAACGCGGGGAAUCUUACCGGGUCCGGACACACUGAGGAUUGACAGACAAUUGUCUUUUUGUCAAAUUUAAAGACAAAAGAUAACAGAUCUUUCAUGAUUAUGUGAUGGGUGGUGCAUGGCCGUUCUUAGUUCGUGGAGUGAUCUGUCUGCUUAAUUGCGUUUCAAAUAUAUUUUAUUAUAUAACGAGUCUACAAAGGAGUGGUUCAUUAACAGACAAUCAUAUCUUUGAGCGUCUGGAAUCUACUCUAUUUGGCUCAAUUGAACGCAACGGACGUGAUCGCGAGUCCUUGUUGAACUUCAGUAUAUAUUGACUUUCCCCGUAGGAAGGGAUUGGCAAUAAUUGAAUGUUCGCUUUCUAUAGGUGUGUAUGAUUAAUCUCAAAAUUACAUGUAUUUGUAGUGGCGAGUAUAAUUUACUAUCCUAUAGGAAAACUCGGGCGACCGCUGUAAUAUUUCUCUUUAAAACAGAGGAAGAUUGCGGCAAUAACAGGUCUGUGAUGC
RNAcentral lists this ribosomal RNA (520 nucleotides) under Globigerinella siphonifera. RNAcentral describes it as "bacterial SSU rRNA". It matches the Rfam family "Eukaryotic small subunit ribosomal RNA", at positions 1182 to 1470 of the family's 1831-position model. The record is from RNAcentral. Lineage: Eukaryota; Foraminifera; Rotaliida; Globigerinidae.